Molecule: long non-coding RNA, 693 nt
Filed under: Rhinopithecus bieti (black snub-nosed monkey)
Lineage: Eukaryota; Metazoa; Chordata; Mammalia; Primates; Cercopithecidae
Description: lncRNA (ENSRBIG00000045526.1)
Source: RNAcentral
AGAAAUGCUGGGAUGAAGGAGAGUUUCAAGUGACAUUUUCUUGUAAAUAAAUAUCAGCUAAUGUCUUUUUCAAAAUGGCUGACUAGAUACCCAGAAUGAUCGUCCCCAAUGAGAAGAAAUAAAUGUGUUAAGUGAAACAUAAAAAGGCAUUGCUGAACUGGUAUGGUAACAAGGAAUCUGCAGAGAUGCAUUUGUUGGGAAAGUAGAGAUCCACUUCACAUCUUGGGAUCCACUCUGAUGGCUUCAUUGACAACAGAUCAUAAACUCUAGGACUCAUCAAAGACAAAAAAAGAUGGAAUUUGGAGGACAAGACAAGAGAUACUAAGAAGAGUAAAGUCAAUAAACAGAUGGCAGCACAGAAAGGGGACAGACUUUCAGGGCAGAUUACCAGGAGACAGCUUUUACAAUGAGUGCACUGGAAAGAGGAAGGAAAAAGUCAUUUUGCUGCUUCAUGUGUUGCCUACACAGCGACUGUUACAGUGGUUUCAGCAGAGUCAGUGGUGGUGUCAAGAGCAUCUGGAACAGAGACGGCAGCUUAGUUCAUAUGAAGCAGCAAUAGCAACAGAAGAAGAGGCAGUGACAUCACCCUCAGUUUGUUGGGGAAUGUCUGCAACCAUCAGUUCUCCUCUGUUGCUAAGAGCUCCAGCACAGCAUUGUCUUCUGUUAAAUGAAGCAGCAUGAAUGAACCCAGCU